This 650-nucleotide ribosomal RNA is filed under the name uncultured marine bacterium. Its description in RNAcentral is "bacterial SSU rRNA". It matches the Rfam family "Bacterial small subunit ribosomal RNA", at positions 85 to 733 of the family's 1533-position model. The record is from RNAcentral.
CAGAUGACGACCGGCGCACGGGUGCGUAACGCGUAUAGAACCUACCUUUUACAGAGGGAUAGCCUUUAGAAAUGAAGAUUAAUACCUUAUAGUAUUUUAGAUUAGCAUUAAUUUAGAAUUAAAGAUUUAUCGGUAAAAGAUGGCUAUGCGUUCUAUUAGCUAGAUGGAGUGGUAACGGCACCCCAUGGCUACGAUAGAUAGGGGCCCUGAGAGGGGGAUCCCCCACACUGGUACUGAGACACGGACCAGACUCCUACGGGAGGCAGCAGUGAGGAAUAUUGGACAAUGGAGGCAACUCUGAUCCAGCCAUGCCGCGUGCAGGAUGACUGCCCUAUGGGUUGUAAACUGCUUUUAUACAGGAAGAAACACCCCUUCGUGAGGGAGCUUGACGGUACUGUAAGAAUAAGGAUCGGCUAACUCCGUGCCAGCAGCCGCGGUAAUACGGAGGAUCCAAGCGUUAUCCGGAAUCAUUGGGUUUAAAGGGUCCGUAGGUGGAUAAUUAAGUCAGAGGUGAAAUCCUGCAGCUCAACUGUAGAAUUGCCUUUGAAACUGGUUAUCUUGAAUCAUUAUGAAGUAGUUAGAAUAUGUAGUGUAGCGGUGAAAUGCAUAGAUAUUACAUAGAAUACCAAUUGCGAAGGCAGAUUACUAAU